Suricata suricatta (meerkat) is the source of this 259-nucleotide long non-coding RNA. RefSeq lists it as uncharacterized. The transcript has 4 exons. The record is from RefSeq and is a predicted model, not a curated record. Lineage: Eukaryota; Metazoa; Chordata; Mammalia; Carnivora; Herpestidae.
GAUUAAUAAGCAGAGGCAAAGAGAAGAUAAUGCAUUGCCCACAGUUCACAACUAAUAAUUGGGAGUGGGCAGGAGUCUACUAUGGUCCAUCAACAUUCUACUAUGGAUACAGUCAUCCUGGCCAAGUAGAAAUAAAAGAAGAUAACAAGAGAGGAUUUAGUUGCUGGAAAAAUUCACCUACUGCCUUUGGAAAAGCAAAAUGGGAUUUUAUGUGAUGACUUCCACUUCUGGGAGCUGACAUUCUAACAUUAUUACCCAG